UACGGAGGAUCCGAGCGUUAUCCGGAUUUAUUGGGUUUAAAGGGUGCGUAGGCGGCCUGGUAAGUCAGGGGUGAAAGAUGGCAGCUUAACUGUCGCAGUGCCUUUGAUACUGCCGGGCUUGAAUGUACUUGAAGUAGGCGGAAUGUGACAAGUAGCGGUGAAAUGAAGAGAUAUGUCACAGAACACCGAUAGCGAAGGCAGCUUACUAAAGUAUGAUUGACGCUGUGGCACGAAAGCGUGGGGAUCAAACAGG
Molecule: unclassified non-coding RNA, 253 nt
Filed under: uncultured Sphingobacteriaceae bacterium
Lineage: Bacteria; Pseudomonadati; Bacteroidota; Sphingobacteriia; Sphingobacteriales; Sphingobacteriaceae
Description: contains 16S-23S intergenic spacer region
Rfam family: Bacterial small subunit ribosomal RNA
Source: RNAcentral